AGAAGCCGUGUGAGGUGAAAGUCUCAUGCACGGUUUUGAAGACGAGUCGCCUUGGUGACAAGGUGGCUUAGUUUAAC
This 77-nucleotide non-coding RNA is filed under the name Hyella patelloides LEGE 07179. The record is from RNAcentral. Lineage: Bacteria; Bacillati; Cyanobacteriota; Cyanophyceae; Pleurocapsales; Pleurocapsaceae.